This 114-nucleotide non-coding RNA is filed under the name human gut metagenome. RNAcentral describes it as "FMN riboswitch (RFN element)". It matches the Rfam family "FMN riboswitch aptamer (RFN element)". From Rfam's summary of the family: The RFN element is a highly conserved domain that is found frequently in the 5'-untranslated regions of prokaryotic mRNAs that encode for flavin mononucleotide (FMN) biosynthesis and transport proteins. The record is from RNAcentral.
GUCUUUGUGGCAGGGUGAAAGUCCCUACCGAUGGUAAUAGUCCAUGACCCGUUGUUUAAACGGCUGAGCCGGUGCAAUUCCGGCACCGACGGUAUAGUCCGGAUGAGAAAAGAC